This 67-nucleotide transfer RNA is filed under the name synthetic construct. The record is from RNAcentral.
GCGGAUUUAACUCAGUUGGGAGAGCGCCUUCGGGAGGUCCUGUGUUCGAUCCACAGAAUUCGCACCA